GGGCGUGCCUCGAACCGAGGCAAACGAGAACAGCCGGGUGGAGGCGGAUGACCGGGAGGACUUCCACUGACUCAAAGACAUGUCGGUCCUGAAGCAGAGGGAGCUUGUUACCGAACAAGCCCUCUAUGACGCUGGCCUGAGCUUGGUCCCCCGUCUAGGUAUCGCCCGAUCCAUCAGUUAUCUUUUUAUUUGGCAUUCGUUCUCGUGCAUAUACUGAUCCUUUUGUCGGCAUUGCAGGGACACCACCGAGGAUGAGGUUGACCGACGCUGAGAUCAGACAAUAUGCGAUGAGGAAGAGGC
RNAcentral lists this long non-coding RNA (300 nucleotides) under Elaeis guineensis (African oil palm). Its description in RNAcentral is "long non-coding RNA (EGUI_LNC000925)". Lineage: Eukaryota; Viridiplantae; Streptophyta; Magnoliopsida; Arecales; Arecaceae. The record is from RNAcentral.